CCCAGACGUAGCACGCUGGCCACAGACCUGGCUGAGAAGUUGGGACCUACUAGGGGACUAGUAGGUCCCAACUUCUCAGCCAGGUCUGUGGCCAGCGUGCUACGUCU
Non-coding RNA from Pelobates cultripes (western spadefoot toad), 107 nucleotides. The record is from the annotation of a GenBank genome assembly. NCBI's taxonomy places the organism in Eukaryota, Metazoa, Chordata, Amphibia, Anura, Pelobatidae.